UACUCCAAAUACAUUAUUUUGCAGGUCCUUGAAUGUAUUGCUGACAACCCUAUAUGGGUACUUGUGACCCGUAUGCAGACGCAUACUCAAGCAGAAAGAAAAAUCAUGGAGGCAAAGAAGGAAGCUCUAUAGAAGGAAACUAGUGAAAGAAUUUUGAUAGGUUCUCCUACUUUUCAAGACGGACUCGCUAAACUUAAUGCAAUGAAACCUCUUCCUUAUGGGACACUGCAUGCGGCACAUGAAGUUUAUAC
Molecule: long non-coding RNA, 251 nt
Organism: Vitis vinifera (wine grape)
Lineage: Eukaryota; Viridiplantae; Streptophyta; Magnoliopsida; Vitales; Vitaceae
Exons: 3
Source: RefSeq, a predicted model, not a curated record